This 253-nucleotide ribosomal RNA is filed under the name uncultured bacterium. RNAcentral describes it as "partial 16S ribosomal RNA". It matches the Rfam family "Bacterial small subunit ribosomal RNA", at positions 524 to 776 of the family's 1533-position model. The record is from RNAcentral.
UACAGAGGUCUCAAGCGUUGUUCGGAUUCAUUGGGCGUAAAGGGUGUGUAGGUGGCGCGCUAAGUCAGGUGUGAAAUCUCGGGGCUUAACUCCGAAACUGCAUUUGAUACUGGCGUGCUUGAGGACUGGAGAGGAGACUGGAAUUCAUGGUGUAGCAGUGAAAUGCGUAGAGAUCAUGAGGAAGACCAGUGGCGAAGGCGGGUCUCUGGACAGUUCCUGACACUGAGACACGAAGGCCAGGGGAGCAAACGGG